Molecule: transfer RNA, 72 nt
Filed under: Pestalotiopsis fici W106-1
Lineage: Eukaryota; Fungi; Ascomycota; Sordariomycetes; Amphisphaeriales; Sporocadaceae
Description: tRNA-Pro (AGG) (tRNA-Pro-AGG-1 1 to 6)
Rfam family: tRNA
About the family: Transfer RNA (tRNA) molecules are approximately 80 nucleotides in length. Their secondary structure includes four short double-helical elements and three loops (D, anti-codon, and T loops).
Source: RNAcentral
GGUCUUGUGGUCUAGUGGUAUGAUUCGCGCUUAGGGUGCGCGAGGCCCCGUGUUCGAUCCACGGCAAGACCC